CACACUCUCGCCCCUGGGACCCAGCUCGGCGCAGGGCGGGGGCUCUGCCCGGUUUCUGCCGCUUUCCCAGGCGCGGGACCACGGCUUCCCGAGCUCCCGGAAGGACGAACGCACAACGCUUUGCUCAAGUCCCCGCAGUGUUCUGUCAAUCAGAGCCAGCGUUUUCAUGCCAGGGCUCAACUCCCGAGGAGCCAAUGCAGGCCAGGUGGACUGAGCAGGACUGAGAGGUGAAGACUCUUCUUUGAUGGAGUGCAGUACAGAAACAGACAGAGGGCUGGAUUUUGCCUACCCUUGACCUUUGAUGGAGGGUGAACAUAGGAGGGAAUGAGAAACGUGGGAGGAGGACUCCCAUGACUGAGCUUCAGACCCUGGGCCGAAAGAACAGAGAUGCUCCCGGUCACACAGCCCCCCAGGGACGAAGAACUACCUCAGGAGUGGCUCAGCGGAAACGAAUCCGACUAGGAACCAUGAGGUUGCGGGUUCGAUCUCUGGCCUUGCUCAGUGGGUUAAGGAUCUGGCAUUGCCUUGGGUUGUGGUGUAGGUUGCAGAUGUGGCCCAGUUCCUGAGUUGCUGUGGCUCUGGCAUAGGCUGGCAGUUACAGCUCCGAUUUGACCCCUAGCCUGGGAACCUCCAUAUGCCGCGGGUGCGGCCCUAGAAAAUACAAGACAGAUUAAAAAAAAAAAAAAAAAAAAAGAACUACCUCAGAGGGCAUGGGCUGCAGCUCAAUCACAUACACAAAGGCACCAACGUGAUGCCACAGAAAACUGGUAAACCUCGGAAAAGGAAGCAAGGCCUUCCCGCUCCAGUUUAUGCUGUUCCUACAGCGCCCUCUAGUGGCAGAGACUAACAAGCCAGGUUGCAAAGGACUGGAGGCUGCUUCCAUUCGACCUGCUGCUUCUCUCUGUGUCCACCUCCUCCCUCCUCCCUGAACCUUCCAGCUGCCAUCUUGCCUGAUGGAUGCCGUUGCGGUCCUGAGAGGCAGUCAGCAUCUUCUUUGGGUUGUGCUGUGGGGGAGGAGAUGGCGGGGGCGUGAUCAUUCCUUGCAUAGGUGGGCUUGGAAGCCAACAAGUUAUGGAAAAAAUGGUCGGGUUCUUUCUGAUGGUGGUUUACAGGUCCCAGUCUUCGUCUGAAGUGGUGAAUAUUGGACAAUGGCAGUAAGUGGCUUUCCAUUGCUCUCCGCUUUUGGUAGGACCUGGGAAAGUUGGGGGGCCCCCUGAAGGGGAAUCUCUGUCCCCGCCGUAGAUGUCUGGGUGCAUGCAGUCUUCUGCUACCUUUCUAAAGCAAACCUCUGGGGAGUUUCUGCUGUGGCUUAAUGGGAUCGGUGGUGUCUUGGGAGUUCUGGGACGCAAGUUCGAUCCCCACCCGGCACAGUGGUUUAAAGAUCCGGUGUUGCCACAGCUGUGGCUUAGGUUGUGACUGCUGCUUGGAUCUGAUCGCUGGCCCGGGAACUCCAUAGGCCAUGGGGUGGCCAAAAAUGAAAAUAAAUAAAACCAAAUAAAGCAAACCUCUGGCUCUCUGCUUUCUAAUAUAGUCCUGAAGUUCAUGUUGAAAAGAGUCAUGUUGAAAAAAGCGUUAGAAUUUUCCAUUACAUUGGCUAUGGGUGAUGCUCUGGAAUCGCCACCGUGCACUCGGUUACUGAGAUAAAGUUCCACAAACAGAUGGAACCCUCACUUCCUCAAGCCUAGGAGCCUUUGGGGUUGUGUAAGUAGGAAGUCCUGUGGGCCUGCAACAGGGCAGAGCCUCUGCUUAGAACCUCAAAAAGGAAGGAAGGAGCCCUAGAGCAGGGUGGAAGUUUUAUACUCAACUCGAGAAGAAUCCCAACUUCUUGGCAGCUCAGACUUCCCUCACAAUUUUUUUUGUCUUUUUAGGGCCACACCUGUGGCAUAUGUUAAGUUCCCAGUCUAGGGGUCGGCUUGGAACUGUAGCCGCUGGCCUACGCCCCAGCCACACCAGCUCUGAGCGA
Molecule: non-coding RNA, 1963 nt
Organism: Sus scrofa (pig)
Lineage: Eukaryota; Metazoa; Chordata; Mammalia; Artiodactyla; Suidae
Source: RefSeq, a predicted model, not a curated record